GAUUAACGCUGGCGGCGUGCCUAACACAUGCAAGUCGAACGAGGUAGCAAUACCUAGUGGCAGACGGGUGAGUAACGCGUGGUCAACCUACCGUUGAGUGGGGGAUAACUAGCCGAAAGGUUAGCUAAUACCGCAUACGUCUCCGAGGGGCAUCCCUUGGCGAUAAAAGGAGCAAUCCGCUCGAUGACGGGACCGCGUCCCAUUAGCUAGAUGGCGGGUAACGCCUACCAUGGCACCGAUGGGUAGCUGGUUUGAGAGAGCGACCAGCCACACUGGGACUGAGAAACGGCCCAGACUCCUACGGGAGGCAGCAGUGAGGAAUUUUCCGCAAUGGGCGCAAGCCUGACGGAGCGACGCCGCGUGUGGGAAGAAGG
RNAcentral lists this ribosomal RNA (374 nucleotides) under uncultured bacterium. RNAcentral describes it as "bacterial SSU rRNA". It matches the Rfam family "Bacterial small subunit ribosomal RNA", at positions 28 to 414 of the family's 1533-position model. The record is from RNAcentral.